AGACAGAGGGUGCAAACGUUGUUCGGAAUCACUGGGCGUAAAGCGAGUGUAGGUUGUCAGGUAAGUAGGAUGUGAAAGCCCGGGGCUCAACCCCGGAAUUGCAUUCUAAACUGCCUGGCUAGAGUCCCGGAGAGGGAGGUGGAAUUCCGAGUGUAGAGGUGAAAGUCGUAGAUAUUCGGAGGAACACCAGAGGCGAAGGCGACCUCCUGGACGGUGACUGACACUGAGACUCGAAAGCGUGGGGAGCAAACAGGAGUAGAAACCCCGGUAGUCC
RNAcentral lists this ribosomal RNA (274 nucleotides) under uncultured bacterium. RNAcentral describes it as "partial 16S ribosomal RNA". It matches the Rfam family "Bacterial small subunit ribosomal RNA", at positions 523 to 796 of the family's 1533-position model. The record is from RNAcentral.